This 490-nucleotide ribosomal RNA is filed under the name uncultured bacterium. Its description in RNAcentral is "partial 16S ribosomal RNA". It matches the Rfam family "Bacterial small subunit ribosomal RNA", at positions 30 to 507 of the family's 1533-position model. The record is from RNAcentral.
AUUGAACGCUGGCGGCAGGCCUAACACAUGCAAGUCGAACGGUAACAGGAAACAGCUUGCUGUUUCGCUGACGAGUGGCGGACGGGUGAGUAAUGUCUGGGAAACUGCCUGAUGGAGGGGGAUAACUACUGGAAACGGUAGCUAAUACCGCAUAACGUCGCAAGACCAAAGAGGGGGACCCUCGGGCCUCUUGCCAUCGGAUGUGCCCAGAUGGGAUUAGCUUGUUGGUGGGGUAACGGCUCACCAAGGCGACGAUCCCUAGCUGGUCUGAGAGGAUGACCAGCCACACUGGAACUGAGACACGGUCCAGACUCCUACGGGAGGCAGCAGUGGGGAAUAUUGCACAAAGGGCGCAAGCCUGAUGCAGCCAUGCCGCGCGUAUGAAGAAGGCCUUCGGGUUGUAAAGUACUUUCAGCGGGGAGGAAGGGAGUAAAGUUAAUACCUUUGCUCAUUGACGUUACCCGCAGAAGAAGCACCGGCUAACUCCGUG